GAUGAACGCUGGCGGCGUGCCUAAUACAUACAAGUCGAGCGAACGGACGAGAAGCUUGCUUCUCUGAUGUUAGCAGCGGACGGGUGAGUAACACGUGGAUAACCUACCUAUAAGACUGGGAUAACUUCGGGAAACCGUAGCUAAUACCGGAUAAUAUUUUGAACCGCAUGGUUCAAAAGUGAAAGACGGUCUUGCUGUCACUUAUAGAUGGAUCCGCGCUGCAUUAGCUAGUUGGUAAGGUAACGGCCUACCAAGGCAACGAUGCAUAGCCGACCUGAGAGGGUGAUCGGCCACACUGGAACUGAGACACGGUCCAGACUCCUACGGGAGGCAGCAGUAGGGAAUCUUCCGCAAUGGGCGAAAGCCUGACGGAGCAACGCCGCGUGAGUGAUGAAGGUCUUCGGAUCGUAAAACUCUGUUAUUAGGGAAGAACAUAUGUGUAAGUAACUGUGCACAUCUUGACGGUACCUAAUCAGAAAGCCACGGCUAACUACGUG
RNAcentral lists this ribosomal RNA (497 nucleotides) under uncultured bacterium. Its description in RNAcentral is "partial 16S ribosomal RNA". It matches the Rfam family "Bacterial small subunit ribosomal RNA", at positions 28 to 507 of the family's 1533-position model. The record is from RNAcentral.